AUUGAACGCUGGCGGCAGGCCUAACACAUGCAAGUCGAGCGGGGGAAGGUAGCUUGCUACCGGACCUAGCGGCGGACGGGUGAGUAAUGCUUAGGAAUCUGCCUAUUAGUGGGGGACAACAUCUCGAAAGGGAUGCUAAUACCGCAUACGUCCUACGGGAGAAAGCAGGGGAUCUUCGGACCUUGCGCUAAUAGAUGAGCCUAAGUCGGAUUAGCUAGUUGGUGGGGUAAAGGCCUACCAAGGCGACGAUCUGUAGCGGGUCUGAGAGGAUGAUCCGCCACACUGGGACUGAGACACGGCCCAGACUCCUACGGGAGGCAGCAGUGGGGAAUAUUGGACAAUGGGGGGAACCCUGAUCCAGCCAUGCCGCGUGUGUGAAGAAGGCCUUAUGGUUGUAAAGCACUUUAAGCGAGGAGGAGGCUACUCUAGUUAAUACCUAGGGAUAGUGGACGUUACUCGCAGAAUAAGCACCGGCUAACUCUGUGCCAGCCGCCGCAGUGA
Molecule: ribosomal RNA, 501 nt
Filed under: uncultured bacterium
Lineage: Bacteria
Description: partial 16S ribosomal RNA
Rfam family: Bacterial small subunit ribosomal RNA
Source: RNAcentral